This is a non-coding RNA of Pelobates cultripes (western spadefoot toad), 1046 nucleotides long. NCBI's taxonomy places the organism in Eukaryota, Metazoa, Chordata, Amphibia, Anura, Pelobatidae. The record is from the annotation of a GenBank genome assembly.
AGCUGUCCAGCCCUGAAUUGCCUAGAGAGCUCCAGCAGCUCAGCAUACUGCAGCAAGUGAAGAGAGAAAGGGCUUUGAAAGAUUAUGACAUUGACAACAAAGGGUUUCUUACAAGAACCUCCUCCUAAGGAUUUCAACCCAGAGUUUAAGACUUUCUGUCGAUUCUUCCCAUAGGUGAGCCAGUUAAUGUGUAAGUGAGUGCUCCAUUCAGUUGUGAGGAAGGUGAUAUUUCACCAUGGAGCAUUAAUUCUGCUUUUUUUGUUUUCUCCAACUUUCUUUACAAGAACCUGUGCUGUAUAUUCUAUAAAUUGAGGUCAUGUCUGCCUCCCAAGUUAUGUUUUUUUUCUUCAAUGAAUCUGUUUCAGAAAGAUUCUGUUUAUACAUGCUGGUUACCAAAAGAUUUUGUAUUGUGAUAACAUUAUAUUUUUUUUGUUCUCUUUCAUUAAAUAAAGCCUUGGAAUGUUAGUGACGCACAUGUUUUGCGCAAAAUCAUUAUCAACACUGCAUGGGUUUUCAUCUUCAAGUUAUAAACACAUAUGUUGGGAGUUAUACAAUAUAUAACUCACUAAGUUUGUAAUGAAUUAAAAACACAAUAGCACAAUUUUAAGCCAAAAUAGCUGAUUUGGAAAAAUUCUGCCAUCCGGCUAUAUUCACAGUUUGGCUAUUUUAGCCUGAAAGUUGGUUUUCAAUUUUGGUUUCUACUCCUUAGAGCUAUAUAGACAAUUAAAGAGACACUCUGGGCACCAAUGCAACUUCAAUGUAUCUGAUUGCUUUUGGAUUUGUUAAUUUGUUGUAUUUGUCUUGCUUGCUCAAAUCAUUAUAGUUUUUGCACAAAAAAUGUUUUGUUGAAUACUGCACUAUAGUACAGCCCCCUUAGCCACACCCCUUCACUCCAGAAAAAUGCUUCCUUAUCACAUUUGUGCACAGCACGAGUCAUGGAAAACAAUGAGUGAUCUGAAAUACAAAGCAGCCUUCAUUAGGAAAGGACACCCAGGGAAAAUUUUAGUAAGGUUACCACUACCUGUUUGUUUGUAGUUUCUAUGUCU